This is a long non-coding RNA of Poeciliopsis prolifica (blackstripe livebearer), 347 nucleotides long. RefSeq lists it as uncharacterized. The record is from RefSeq and is a predicted model, not a curated record. Lineage: Eukaryota; Metazoa; Chordata; Actinopteri; Cyprinodontiformes; Poeciliidae. The transcript has 3 exons.
AGAGAGGAGGGAGUCCCUCCCUCUAAAACCACUCUGUGUGGGGAAGAUGAGAGCCAGAGCAAAGGUCAGAGGAUCCAUCAGAGACUCAAACCAGAACCAGAACCAGAACCAGAACCCAGCUGUGUGUCCUUUAAGAGCGACAUGUCAAAGGGUGGGCUCAUUUACUUUAAAUCUCCUGGAUCUCCACCAUCAGAGAGAGUGGACCGGCAGACCUCAGAGGUUCCCAGUGGUCCAUCUCCUCAGCAGCAUCAAACACAGCUGGACUCCAUAUUUAUGGUCUGUAUAUGAACAACAACUAUUUUCCACGAGUUCUGUUCAGAGUCACCUUCAUGCUUCACUUUGUAGAC